Molecule: ribosomal RNA, 467 nt
Filed under: uncultured bacterium
Lineage: Bacteria
Description: bacterial SSU rRNA
Rfam family: Bacterial small subunit ribosomal RNA
Source: RNAcentral
GAUGAACGCUAGCGACAGGCUUAACACAUGCAAGUCGAGGGGCAGCGAGGGAGUGCUUGCACUUCUGUCGGCGACCGGCGCACGGGUGAGUAACACGUAUGCAACCUGCCCUUGUCAGGGGGAUAAGCGAGGGAAACCUCGUCUAAUACCGCAUAUAUGAUUUAGAGGCAUCUCUUAAUCAGGAAAGAAUUAUCGGACAAGGAUGGGCAUGCGGGACAUUAGGUAGUUGGGGGUGUAACGGACCACCAAGUCGACGAUCGGUAGCCGGACUGAGAGGUUGAACGGCCACAUUGGGACUGAGACACGGCCCAGACUCCUACGGGAGGCAGCAGUGGGGGAUAUCGCACAAUGGGGGAAACCCUGAUGCAGCAACGCCGCGUGAAGGAAGAAGGUCUUCGGAUUGUAAACUUCUGUUUUUAGUGAAGAACAAAUGACGUAGCUAAAGAGGAAGCCACGGCUAACACGUG